UGGUGACACUAGGGAUGUCUCACACUGGAGACUGAAAGGAUCAGCACUAGGGGAGUGCCGCAAUGUCAGAGGCUCAGUGCUGUACUGUCUGAGGCUCUUUCACACUUAAUCAGUAAGUUGUUGUCUACCAGCCCAGUUAAAGAUCCUGUGGCACAAUUUGAGGACAAACAGGUGGAAGAAGAGGAUUAGUGUAAAGCGAAGCAAAUAAGGAUACCAACCUGAAGCCAAUGGAAAUGCAAAGACCUGACCAGCACUGCUGGACCAGCUGAGCUUCUCCAACAUUCUGUGUCUGAGGAGUAUUAAUGUGCUGUUAGUGAGCACCUCUGAACUUCCCAGAUGAUGUUCUUGCCAAUGAUGUUUCCAGUUGAGGUACAGUUGCUAGCACACUCAUCUCUGAAUCAGGAGCUCAAGCUGCAAUCCAGGAAUCUUGGAGAAAUUACAGGGUGACAGUUCAGUGGGAGCUAAUUUCUAUUCAUUCAAGAGCAUGAGGGCUUCAGUCGCUGAGUCACCAUUUCUUGUCCUAAUUGCCUUUGAAAAGGUGAUGGUGAACUAUCUGUUGAAAUACUGCAGCCCUUGGGAGGGCAAUGGUGUACGUGGGAGGUUGAGGUUAGUGCAGCACUGUUGGUCAUCCUAUCAGAUGCCAACUUUCUAAUGAAAGGCUAAGCCAAGCUUCAUCUUGCUCUCGCAGGUGGACAUGAAUGAUUCCAUGACAGUGAAGGCUAAGAGACUUUACUCUGGCUAACUCUCCCUCAACUAAAACAAAUCAGAAUAUGGGAUGAUUUAUAUCAUUUUUUUUUUUGCAGUGUACAAAUUGGCUGCUGUUUUUCGUACAUUAGAACAACAUCCAUAAUUCAAAAGUAUCUAUUGGUUGCCAAGAUUUCUGGCAUGCCCUAAGGUUGUGGAAGGUACUUUUAGAAUGGACUGGAACUAAAUGAUGAGUAUUAGACAUUAUGUUCUGGAACAUAGUGUGCAGUUCUGUAUCAGGAUAUGAGUGAGUGUUGUACUGUCUGUUUCCAAUCCUGUUUUGGGCUUAGACAAUACAGGGGUCUUUCACUAUCUGAGUUAGUAGAUGCAGUGCAAUGGGUCUUGCUUUGCAUGUUGCCUCUGUGAGGCUUCAGGAAUUUACAGGAGACCUAAUGAAAACCAUUACAAUAAGAAUGUAAAAGAUAAGUUGGCAAGACAUGAAUGCAGCUCCCCAGGCACCAUCUCUGAGCCCAGAAGGUGACUCCUGGCCUCUGCAAACAGAAACAGAGUGUUAUGUUUCAGUCAGAUACUACAUGCAUUCUAUAUCAUCAGAGAUUACCCAGUGGCUGUAAAGUGGACUGUCCAACAGUGAAGGAAUCUCAUGGAACAGCCAGUCUUUCAAAACCACUUGCUCCAAAGGAGCAAGCCUGUGCCUCACCACUGAUCACAAUGGUAACUUUCAAUGUCAAAGAUUUGAACACUGUUUAUCAGACAUGCACUGUCCUAAUAUUACUGUGUUGUUGGAAUAAAUGUCAUUCCAGUGCAUGGAACUCAAGUAUAUUAAAUCAAUCUUUAAAGUCCUGAUGAGUUAAGAUGAUUCUCUUCAUCAGUUCAGUUAAUGCUUACAUCUCAUUAUACUGCAUUAUGUUGAAUUUAUGAACCAGGUCUGACAUUUCUCACAAAGGCAUGAUCCAAGUAUAGUGUGGUCUGAUUUUAAUGUUUGGCUGCACCACGAAAAGUUAAUUGGUGCCAAAAUCCACCAAGAGACAGCUGUAGAUUUUUGAAACCUGAUCACUUUUUUUCUCUAGGGGUGUAUACUUUUAUGAAGUGCUGAGACUGAAUGAGUUGCUGAAUGAACUGGUUUAUGGGAGAACAAUGUAACUAUUUCUAUCUGCAAUCCAAGUCUUGGAUCUGCUUCCUAGCAAAGUAGCUGUACAUCAAAAGCAAUUCAACUGCUGCCUUAACUCUUUGCACCAUCCAUCAUGCACGUACACACACUUUUCAGGGUUACACCUGUACUGAGCCACUUCCUGUAAGCCACACAGCUUAUCAGAAAGUGGAUCAAACAUUAUUGGAGAUUGAUUUCCUCUGAUAGUUCAAUGAAGAAUUCUACUCUGUGGUGUGCUGCUCAGACAAAUCCACCAGGGAAGGUUCAUGUUUGAUUCCCAUUCUGUGCCAAGUUAAAGCUCUGAUGGAAAUUGGUGCAAUUCAUCAUUCCUGGCAAACAUAACGCAACAUCUAGGCUUCUACCAUGUACACAUAGUCAACUAUCAAAAUCACAAACGUUCACAGGAGAUCUCGCAUGUGAGAGUUCAGGCCUACUCCUUCUCAGGCCUACUCCUUCUCUGGGAUAAUU
Molecule: non-coding RNA, 2320 nt
Organism: Chiloscyllium plagiosum (whitespotted bambooshark)
Lineage: Eukaryota; Metazoa; Chordata; Chondrichthyes; Orectolobiformes; Hemiscylliidae
Source: RefSeq, a predicted model, not a curated record